ACAGGCCAGAGGAAGAAGACACAGUGAGCAGCAGAGUCCAGAAAAGCUAUAGCCAGUCAUAGCAGGAAACCUGCUGUUCUUAGAGAACAUGCAGGGAAAGCUAUUGAAAGACGCAGCAGGGACACUGAGGCAGCUGGAGUUUUGUUUUGCGACCUCGACAGCGG
This is a long non-coding RNA of Etheostoma cragini (Arkansas darter), 164 nucleotides long. RefSeq lists it as uncharacterized. The transcript has 3 exons. NCBI's taxonomy places the organism in Eukaryota, Metazoa, Chordata, Actinopteri, Perciformes, Percidae. The record is from RefSeq and is a predicted model, not a curated record.